AGUGAACGCUGGCGGUAGGCCUUACACAUGCAAGUCGAACGGCAGCACAGUAAGUUCUUGCUCUUACCGGCGGCGAGUGGCGGACGGGUUAGGAAUACAUCUGACUCUACUUUUUCGUGGGGGCUAACGUAGGGGAACUUACGCUACUACCGCAUACGACCUACGGGUGAAAGCAGUUGAUCUUCGGACCUUGCGCGAUUGCCUGAGCCGAUGUCGGAUUAGCUAGUUGUCGGGGUAAAGGCCCACCAAGGCGACGAUCCGUAGCUGGUCUGAGAGGAUGAUCAGCCACACUGGAACUGAGACACGGUCCAGACUCCUACGGGAGGCAGCAGUGGGGAAUAUUGGACAAUGGGCGAAAGCCUGAUCCAGCCAUACCGCGUGGGUGAAGAAGGCCUUCGGGUUGUAAAGCACUUUUGUUGGGAAAGAAAAGCAGCAGGUUAAUACCGCGCUGUUAUGACGGUACCGAAAGAAUAAGCACCGGCUAACUACGUG
This 492-nucleotide ribosomal RNA is filed under the name uncultured bacterium. RNAcentral's name for it is "partial 16S ribosomal RNA". It matches the Rfam family "Bacterial small subunit ribosomal RNA", at positions 29 to 507 of the family's 1533-position model. The record is from RNAcentral.